UUGCGGAAACAAAAGUAAAUAAAUUGCAACAAGAUAUUUUUGGUUUAUAGAUCUGAAAAUAUAAUAUGGAAAAUAGACCCGGGGGCCAUAGGUUUCACUAUAGGCUUCUCUCAUAAAGGAAAAUAAUACGGUGGGUGAAAAAAUUAUUGUCGAGCAAUUGAUAGAAAAGCGAAUAAUUAUGAAGAUAUCCAAGGAAAUGAUUAUGCAUAUAGGCAUCACAUCCGUGUCAAGUAGACCGAAACGAUUCUACAUCUACUACUAUUACCCCACACAUCGAUUGACUCCUGC
This 288-nucleotide long non-coding RNA is filed under the name Hordeum vulgare. RNAcentral describes it as "long non-coding RNA (HVUL_LNC005282)". Lineage: Eukaryota; Viridiplantae; Streptophyta; Magnoliopsida; Poales; Poaceae. The record is from RNAcentral.